RNAcentral lists this ribosomal RNA (645 nucleotides) under uncultured actinomycete. RNAcentral describes it as "bacterial SSU rRNA". It matches the Rfam family "Bacterial small subunit ribosomal RNA", at positions 229 to 888 of the family's 1533-position model. Lineage: Bacteria; Bacillati; Actinomycetota; Actinomycetes; Actinomycetales. The record is from RNAcentral.
AUUCGCGGCCUAUCAGCUUGUUGGUGAGGUAACGGCUCACCAAGGCAUCGACGGGUAGCUGGUCUGAGAGGACGAUCAGCCACACUGGGACUGAGACACGGCCCAGACUCCUACGGGAGGCAGCAGUGGGGAAUCUUGCGCAAUGGGCGAAAGCCUGACGCAGCAACGCCGCGUGGGGGAUGAAGGCCUUCGGGUUGUAAACCCCUUUCAGCAGGGACGAUUAUGACGGUACCUGCAGAAGAAGGACCGGCCAACUACGUGCCAGUAGCCGCGGUAAUACGUGGGGUCCAAGCGUUGUCUGGAUUUAUUGGGCGUAAAGAGCUCGUAGGCGGCUCAGUAAGUGGGAUGUGAAAACUCGGGGCUCAACCCCGAGACGCCAUCCCAUACUGCUGUGGCUUGAGUCUGGUAGGGGAACACGGAAUUCCUGGUGUAGCGGUGAAAUGCGCAGAUAUCAGGAGGAACACCGAUGGCGAAGGCAGUGUUCUGGGCCAGUACUGACGCUGAGGAGCGAAAGCGUGGGUAGCAAACAGGAUUAGAUACCCUGGUAGUCCACGCCGUAAACGUUGGGCACUAGGUGUGGGGACCUAUCGACGGUUUCCGUGCCGCAGCUAACGCAUUAAGUGCCCCGCCUGGGGAGUACGGAAU